GGCGAUGUAGCCAAGUGGCAAGGCAAAGGUCUGCAAAACCUUGAAUCCCCGGUUCGAAUCCGGGUGUCGCCUCCA
This 75-nucleotide transfer RNA is filed under the name Salinicoccus roseus. RNAcentral describes it as "tRNA-Cys". It matches the Rfam family "tRNA". Rfam says of the family: Transfer RNA (tRNA) molecules are approximately 80 nucleotides in length. Their secondary structure includes four short double-helical elements and three loops (D, anti-codon, and T loops). Further hydrogen bonds mediate the characteristic L-shaped molecular structure. tRNAs have two regions of fundamental functional importance: the anti-codon, which is responsible for specific mRNA codon recognition, and the 3' end, to which the tRNAs corresponding amino acid is attached (by aminoacyl-tRNA synthetases). tRNAs cope with the degeneracy of the genetic code in two manners: having more than one tRNA (with a specific anti-codon) for a particular amino acid; and 'wobble' base-pairing, i.e. permitting non-standard base-pairing at the 3rd anti-codon position. Lineage: Bacteria; Bacillati; Bacillota; Bacilli; Caryophanales; Staphylococcaceae. The record is from RNAcentral.